Molecule: ribosomal RNA, 411 nt
Filed under: Mythicomyia atra
Lineage: Eukaryota; Metazoa; Arthropoda; Insecta; Diptera; Mythicomyiidae
Description: eukaryotic LSU rRNA
Rfam family: Eukaryotic large subunit ribosomal RNA
Source: RNAcentral
GACCCGUCUUGAACCACGGAGUCUAACAUGUGUGCAAGUCAAUGGGUAUAUAAUCAUUUUACUAUGAUUGUAUAUUUAAAAUGAAACCUAAAGGCGACAUUAACUUAACUGUUAUUACAUGGGAUGAAUAUAUUUUCUGAAAUAUGAAAUAUACACAAUCCCGGGGCGUUCCAUCAGUUAUGUAUAGAUUGUGUAUGCUUCGGCAUGCACAUUUAUGCCUCUAACUGGAACUGGAGCGUACCUUGAGCAUAUAUGUUGUGACCCGAAAGAUGGUGAACUAUACCUGAUCAGGUUGAAGUCAGGGGAAACCCUGAUGGAAGACCGAAACAGUUCUGACGUGCAAAUCGAUUGUCAGAAUUGGGUAUAGGGGCGAAAGACCAAUCGAACCAUCUAGUAGCUGGUUCCUUCCGA